This 1065-nucleotide long non-coding RNA is filed under the name Malus domestica (apple). RNAcentral describes it as "long non-coding RNA (MDOM_LNC019811)". The record is from RNAcentral. Lineage: Eukaryota; Viridiplantae; Streptophyta; Magnoliopsida; Rosales; Rosaceae.
GCAAAUAAUUGACCCAAGGGUUGAGCAGAUAUAUAGGGAUUGGAAAAAUACAAAGUGAGCACCAAUGAUACCGCACCAGUACAAAGAGCAUAUCACUCACCAGCUAAUCUAGCUUGAAAUGAUAGGGAAAGAACCUUGACUGAGAUCUUCAAUCACUGUGACAGCCCAAAUGAAUAGAGAAAAAACACAAUUAAUAAACACGGGGACAAAGUACCUGAGAAGCAGAAACAAACUUCUAUGCACAAAAAAAUUGUGCAAGUAAACAAACAUCCAGUUGUACUGAGACUUGAAUGAUCCUUGUUUUAUAAUAUAACUUAAACCCAACCAUGAAUUUACGAAAAAUUUAGGUAGAAUUAUUAACAUAACUCAGGAAAAAAAAAACUCAACUUUGCAAUUAAAUUUCUUACAUAACUUAAACCUAGCAAAUUUAACUAAUUAGAUUCAUCCACAAAAUAAAUUUUAACAUAACCUCAAAGAGUUUCUUCUAACCAAGUAAACCAUUACUCUACAAAAAAACAUGUAGACAAAGCUCUUAUCAAAAUCACAAUAUUGUAAUUAACAGGAACUCCAACAUAAUCUCAGCUAUGCACUUUUCCAAAACGAAGGAAAAAUUUACUUUGUAACUUAACUUAAUAUACAAAACCACCAAUUUAGUCACCUAAAAUUCAUAACCAACACAGAAAACAACUCCAAAUCCUCAGGUUUACACAUGUAUGAGCCAAAGGUCAAGUUUUUACAAAACACUCAUCCCACAAUAUGAAAAAGUAGAUCGAAAAAUUUAAUUUUUGUAUAGAAAUAAGCCAAAGGUUCAAUUUUUACAAACACAGUCAUUUUAUACACAAUAAGCAUACAUAAAAACGUAAAACUUGACAAAUUUUCAUUAACUUCUCAACCAAUACAAAGAACUUAGUGGGUGCUGAUGAAUGAAAAAUAAUUUAGAAUUGCUUUUACAUUUUUAUUAUUUUCUAAGUUUUUUAACGGAGUCAAAUUAAACUGACAUGCUUAAAAAAAAAUGAUACCUGUAAGGUUGGAGUUAUGUAAAUCCAAUUUCACUACCACCUUCUA